Non-coding RNA from Podarcis lilfordi (Lilford's wall lizard), 293 nucleotides. The record is from the annotation of a GenBank genome assembly. Lineage: Eukaryota; Metazoa; Chordata; Lepidosauria; Squamata; Lacertidae.
GGGUGUGAGGGCGAUCUGGCUGCGACAUCUGUCACCCCAUUGAUCGCCAGGGUUGAUUCGGCUGAUCUGGCUGGCUAGGCGGGUGUCCCCUUCCUCCCUCACCGCUCCAUGUGCGUCCCUCCCGAAGCUGCGCACUUGGUGGAAGAGGACGACCAUCCCAGAUAGAAGGAGUGUACCGUUCUUCAGUCAAGGGUAUACGAUAGCUGCGCUCCCCUGCUAGAACCUCCAGACAAUGGUGUAGCCAUGUAACAACUGUGUCUCAUGCUGUCGGCCAAUAUGCAGGCUGGCUGCCA